CUGAGUACGGCGGAACACGUGAAAUUCCGUCGGAAUCCGGGAGGACCAUCUCCCAAGGCUAAAUACUCCCUAGUGACCGAUAGUGAACCAGUACCGUGAGGGAAAGGUGAAAAGCACCCCGGAAGGGGAGUGAAACAGUUCCUGAAACCGUGUGCCUACAAGUAGUUAGAGCCCGUUAAUGGGUGAUAGCGUGCCUUUUGUAGAAUGAACCGGCGAGUUACGAUUUGUUGCAAGGUUAAGCGGAAAAAGCGGAGCCGUAGCGAAAGCGAGUCUGAAUAGGGCGCAUAAGUAACAGGUCGUAGACCCGAAACCAGGUGAUCUACCCAUGUCCAGGAUGAAGGUAAGGUAAUACUUACUGGAGGUCCGAACCCACGCACGUUGAAAAGUGCGGGGAUGAGGUGUGGGUAGCGGAGAAAUUCCAAUCGAACUUGGAGAUAGCUGGUUCUCUCCGAAAUAGCUUUAGGGCUAGCCUCGAGGUAAAGAGUCAUGGA
This 491-nucleotide ribosomal RNA is filed under the name Listeria monocytogenes. RNAcentral describes it as "partial 23S ribosomal RNA". It matches the Rfam family "Bacterial large subunit ribosomal RNA", at positions 408 to 900 of the family's 2925-position model. Lineage: Bacteria; Bacillati; Bacillota; Bacilli; Caryophanales; Listeriaceae. The record is from RNAcentral.